Molecule: transfer-messenger RNA, 378 nt
Filed under: Burkholderiales bacterium
Lineage: Bacteria; Pseudomonadati; Pseudomonadota; Betaproteobacteria; Burkholderiales
Rfam family: transfer-messenger RNA
About the family: Bacterial tmRNA, also known as 10Sa RNA or SsrA, is named for its dual tRNA and mRNA-like properties. Its role is to liberate the mRNA from a stalled ribosome. To accomplish this part of the tmRNA is used as a reading frame that ends in a translation stop signal.
Source: RNAcentral
GGGGGCGACCCGGUUUCGACGUGGGUACUGAAGCAGCGUAGUGCAUGCCGAGGGGUGGAGCACCUCGUAAAUCCAACCGCAAACCAAACUAGUUGCGAACGACGACAACUACGCUCUGGCCGCCUAAUACCGGCUGGACUCUGCUCCGGGCUUGCUCAUGGGCCCGGGUGGUGCAGUAAGCAGUACGCCACAGCAGAGUCAUAUUCAUGAGAUCGCGGUGAGCGGGGCCACUUCGCUCAUCGCUAAAAUCAAGGUGGCUCAGCGUUGCCCAGUUCGCCGGUCUACGGGGCAGCGGUUAAACCAAAUGGCCUGGCUAAGCAUGUAGAGCUGCAUGUGGACGAUUCACGGACGGGGGUUCGAUUCCCCCCGCCUCCACCA